RNAcentral lists this ribosomal RNA (252 nucleotides) under uncultured microorganism. Its description in RNAcentral is "partial 16S ribosomal RNA". It matches the Rfam family "Bacterial small subunit ribosomal RNA", at positions 524 to 776 of the family's 1533-position model. The record is from RNAcentral.
UACGUAGGUCCCGAGCGUUGUCCGGAUUUAUUGGGCGUAAAGCGAGCGCAGGUGGUUUAAUAAGUCUGAUGUAAAAGGCAGUGGCUCAACCAUUGUGUGCAUUGGAAACUGUUAGACUUGAGUGCAGUAGAGGAGAGUGGAAUUCCAUGUGUAGCGGUGAAAUGCGUAGAUAUAUGGAGGAACACCGGUGGCGAAAGCGGCUCUCUGGUCUGUAACUGACGCUGAGGCUCGAAAGCGUGGGGAGCGAACAGG